UGAACGCUGGCGGCGUGCCUAAUACAUGCAAGUCGAGCGACCAGACGCGGAGCUUGCUCCUCUGACGUUAGCGGCGGACGGGUGAGUAACACGUGGAUAACCUACCUAUAAGACUGGGAUAACUUCGGGAAACCGGAGCUAAUACCGGAUAAUAUAUUGAACCGCAUGGUUCACUAGUGAAAGACGGUUUUGCUGUCACUUAUAGAUGGAUCCGCGCCGCAUUAGCUAGUUGGUAAGGUAACGGCUUACCAAGGCAACGAUGCGUAGCCGACCUGAGAGGGUGAUCGGCCACACUGGAACUGAGACACGGUCCAGACUCCUACGGGAGGCAGCAGUAGGGAAUCUUCCGCAAUGGGCGAAAGCCUGACGGAGCAACGCCGCGUGAGUGAUGAAGGUCUUCGGAUCGUAAAACUCUGUUAUUAGGGAAGAACAAAUGUGUAAGUAACUAUGCACGUCUUGACGGUACCUAAUCAGAAAGCCACGGCUAACUACGUG
RNAcentral lists this ribosomal RNA (495 nucleotides) under uncultured bacterium. RNAcentral's name for it is "partial 16S ribosomal RNA". It matches the Rfam family "Bacterial small subunit ribosomal RNA", at positions 30 to 507 of the family's 1533-position model. The record is from RNAcentral.